This 424-nucleotide ribosomal RNA is filed under the name uncultured prokaryote. RNAcentral describes it as "bacterial SSU rRNA". It matches the Rfam family "Bacterial small subunit ribosomal RNA", at positions 355 to 796 of the family's 1533-position model. The record is from RNAcentral.
UGGGGAAUUUUCCGCGAUGGGCGAAAGCCUGACGGAGCAACGCCGCGUGAGGGAGGAAGGCUUUUGGGUUGUAAACCUCUUUUCUCAAGGAAGAUAAUGACGGUACUUGAGGAAUCAGCAUCGGCUAACUCCGUGCCAGCAGCCGCGGUAAUACGGAGGAUGCAAGCGUUAUCCGGAAUAAUUGGGCGUAAAGCGUUCGAAGGUGGUUUAUCAAGUCAGUUGUUAAAGACUGCAGCUCAACUGUGGGCGAGCAACUGAAACUGAUGAACUAGAGUGCGGUAGGGGUAGAGGGAAUUCCCAGUGUAGCGGUGAAAUGCGUAGAUAUUGGGAAGAACACCAGUGGCGAAGGCGCUCUACUGGGCCGCAACUGACGCUGAGGGACGAAAGCUAGGGGAGCGAAAGGGAUUAGAUACCCCGGUAGUCC